AACGUAGGUUCCGAGCGUUAUCCGGAUUUACUGGGCGUAAAGCGCGUUCAGGCGGUUUGGCAAGUCGGGCGUGAAAUCUCUCGGCUCAACCGGGAGAGGUUGUCCGAUACUGCUGGACUUGAGGGCAGUAGAGGGUGGUGGAAUUCCGGGUGUAGUGGUGAAAUGCGUAGAUAUCCGGAGGAACACCAGUGGCGAAAGCGGCCACCUGGACUGUACCUGACGCUCAAACGCGAAAGCUAGGGGAGCGAACGGG
RNAcentral lists this ribosomal RNA (253 nucleotides) under uncultured bacterium. Its description in RNAcentral is "partial 16S ribosomal RNA". It matches the Rfam family "Bacterial small subunit ribosomal RNA", at positions 524 to 776 of the family's 1533-position model. The record is from RNAcentral.